UACGUAGGGGGCUAGCGUUGUCCGGAAUCAUUGGGCGUAAAGCGCGCGUAGGCGGCCAGAUAAGUCCGGUGUGAAAGUCACAGGCUCAACCUGUGAAUGCCGCUGGAAACUGUCUGGCUAGAGUCCGGAAGGGGCGAGUGGAAUUCCUGGUGUAGCGGUGAAAUGCGCAGAUAUCAGGAGGAACACCAAUGGCGAAGGCAGCUCGCUGGAACGGUACUGACGCUGAGGCGCGAAAGCUAGGGGAGCGAACAGG
This 253-nucleotide ribosomal RNA is filed under the name uncultured bacterium. Its description in RNAcentral is "partial 16S ribosomal RNA". It matches the Rfam family "Bacterial small subunit ribosomal RNA", at positions 524 to 776 of the family's 1533-position model. The record is from RNAcentral.